ACGCUCGACACCUACGGGAGGCAGCAGUUGGGAAUAUUGGACAAUGGAGGGAAACUCUGAUCCAGUGACGCCGCGUGAAGGAAGAAGGUCUUCGGAUUGUAAACUUAUUUUGUCAGGGAAGAAAAAAUGACUGUACCUGAAGAAAAGCACCGGCUAACUACGUGCCCGCAGCCGCGGUAAUCUGAGCGGGCUGGCAAGGC
This 200-nucleotide ribosomal RNA is filed under the name uncultured bacterium. RNAcentral's name for it is "partial 16S ribosomal RNA". It matches the Rfam family "Bacterial small subunit ribosomal RNA", at positions 328 to 539 of the family's 1533-position model. The record is from RNAcentral.